This 247-nucleotide ribosomal RNA is filed under the name uncultured bacterium. RNAcentral describes it as "partial 16S ribosomal RNA". It matches the Rfam family "Bacterial small subunit ribosomal RNA", at positions 523 to 769 of the family's 1533-position model. The record is from RNAcentral.
AUACGUAGGGAGCGAGCGUUGUCCGGAAUUACUGGGUGUAAAGGGAGCGUAGGCGGGAAGGCAAGUUGGAUGUGAAAGCUAUCGGCUCAACCGAUAGACUGCAUUCAAAACUGUUUUUCUUGAGUGAAGUAGAGGCAGGCGGAAUUCCUAGUGUAGCGGUGAAAUGCGUAGAUAUUAGGAGGAACACCAGUGGCGAAGGCGACUUGCUGGACAUUAACUGACGCUGAGGCGCGAAAGCGUGGGGAGC